This 1053-nucleotide ribosomal RNA is filed under the name Bacillus sp. (in: firmicutes). RNAcentral describes it as "bacterial SSU rRNA". It matches the Rfam family "Bacterial small subunit ribosomal RNA", at positions 379 to 1428 of the family's 1533-position model. Lineage: Bacteria; Bacillati; Bacillota; Bacilli; Caryophanales; Bacillaceae. The record is from RNAcentral.
AAGUCUGACGGAGCACGCCGCGUGAGUGAUGAAGGUUUUCGGAUCGUAAAGCUCUGUUGUUAGGGAAGAACAAGUACCGUUCGAAUAGGGCGGUACCUUGACGGUACCUAACCAGAAAGCCACGGCUAACUACGUGCCAGCAGCCGCGGUAAUACGUAGGUGGCAAGCGUUGUCCGGAAUUAUUGGGCGUAAAGGGCUCGCAGGCGGUUUCUUAAGUCUGAUGUGAAAGCCCCCGGCUCAACCGGGGAGGGUCAUUGGAAACUGGGGAACUUGAGUGCAGAAGAGGAGAGUGGAAUUCCACGUGUAGCGGUGAAAUGCGUAGAGAUGUGGAGGAACACCAGUGGCGAAGGCGACUCUCUGGUCUGUAACUGACGCUGAGGAGCGAAAGCGUGGGGAGCGAACAGGAUUAGAUACCCUGGUAGUCCACGCCGUAAACGAUGAGUGCUAAGUGUUAGGGGGUUUCCGCCCCUUAGUGCUGCAGCUAACGCAUUAAGCACUCCGCCUGGGGAGUACGGUCGCAAGACUGAAACUCAAAGGAAUUGACGGGGGCCCGCACAAGCGGUGGAGCAUGUGGUUUAAUUCGAAGCAACGCGAAGAACCUUACCAGGUCUUGACAUCCUCUGACAAUCCUAGAGAUAGGACGUCCCCUUCGGGGGCAGAGUGACAGGUGGUGCAUGGUUGUCGUCAGCUCGUGUCGUGAGAUGUUGGGUUAAGUCCCGCAACGAGCGCAACCCUUGAUCUUAGUUGCCAGCAUUCAGUUGGGCACUCUAAGGUGACUGCCGGUGACAAACCGGAGGAACGUGGGGAUGACGUCAAAUCAUCAUGCCCCUUAUGACCUGGGCUACACACGUGCUACAAUGGACAGAAACAAAGGGCAGCGAACCGCGAGGUUUAAGCCAAUCCCACAAAUCUGUUCUCAGUUCGGAUCGCAGUCUGCAACUCGACUGCGUGAAGCUGGCAUCGCUAGUAAUCGCGGAUCAGCAUGGCGCGAUGAAUACGUUCCGGUCGUGUACACACCGCCCGUCAACCACGAGAGGUGUAACACCGGAAGUG